RNAcentral lists this ribosomal RNA (455 nucleotides) under Meyerozyma guilliermondii. RNAcentral's name for it is "LSU rRNA". It matches the Rfam family "Eukaryotic large subunit ribosomal RNA", at positions 141 to 601 of the family's 3401-position model. The record is from RNAcentral. Lineage: Eukaryota; Fungi; Ascomycota; Pichiomycetes; Serinales; Debaryomycetaceae.
AGUUGUAAUUUGAAGAUUGUAACCUUGGGGUUGGCUCUUGUCUAUGUUUCUUGGAACAGGACGUCACAGAGGGUGAGAAUCCCGUGCGAUGAGAUGCCCAAUUCUAUGUAAGGUGCUUUCGAAGAGUCGAGUUGUUUGGGAAUGCAGCUCUAAGUGGGUGGUAAAUUCCAUCUAAAGCUAAAUAUUGGCGAGAGACCGAUAGCGAACAAGUACAGUGAUGGAAAGAUGAAAAGAACUUUGAAAAGAGAGUGAAAAAGUACGUGAAAUUGUUGAAAGGGAAGGGUUUGAGAUCAGACUCGAUAUUUUGUGAGCCUUGCCUUCGUGGCGGGGUGACCCGCAGCUUAUCGGGCCAGCAUCGGUUUGGGCGGUAGGAUAAUGGCGUAGGAAUGUGACUUUACUUCGGUGAAGUGUUAUAGCCUGCGUUGAUGCUGCCUGCCUAGACCGAGGACUGCGAU